RNAcentral lists this transfer RNA (21 nucleotides) under Psittrichas fulgidus. Its description in RNAcentral is "partial tRNA-Met". Lineage: Eukaryota; Metazoa; Chordata; Aves; Psittaciformes; Psittacidae. The record is from RNAcentral.
GUUCAACCCCUUCCCUUACUA